GAUGAACGCUGGCGGCGUGCCUAAUACAUGCAAGUCGAGCGAACGGACGAGAAGCUUGCUUCUCUGAUGUUAGCGGCGGACGGGUGAGUAACACGUGGAUAACCUACCUAUAAGACUGUGAUAACUUCGGGAAACCGGAGCUAAUACCGGAUGAUAUUUUGAACCGCAUGGUUCAAAAGUGAAAGACGGUCUUGCUGUCACUUAUAGAUGGAUCCGCGCUGCAUUAGCUAGUUGGUAAGGUAACGGCUUACCAAGGCAACGAUGCAUAGCCGACCUGAGAGGGUGAUCGGCCACACUGGAACUGAGACACGGUCCAGACUCCUACGGGAGGCAGCAGUAGGGAAUCUUCCGCAAUGGGCGAAAGCCUGACGGAGCAACGCCGCGUGAGUGAUGAAGGUCUUCGGAUCGUAAAACUCUGUUAUUAGGGAAGAACAUAUGUGUAAGUAACUGUGCACAUCUUGACGGUACCUAAACAGAAAGCCACGGCUAACUACGU
RNAcentral lists this ribosomal RNA (496 nucleotides) under uncultured bacterium. RNAcentral's name for it is "partial 16S ribosomal RNA". It matches the Rfam family "Bacterial small subunit ribosomal RNA", at positions 28 to 506 of the family's 1533-position model. The record is from RNAcentral.